Molecule: long non-coding RNA, 2742 nt
Filed under: Canis lupus familiaris (dog)
Lineage: Eukaryota; Metazoa; Chordata; Mammalia; Carnivora; Canidae
Description: lncRNA (ENSCAFG00845004057.1)
Source: RNAcentral
UUUUCUCCAUGAGCUUUACUAAAGUGAUGCCAUCCAGGGCCUCUUUUGCAGCACUGAUAUUUGGGGGAACAAACAUUGGAGCCCAUAUGAGGAUAGUUCAAAGGCCCCAGCAAACUUGUCUUUGACCCAAACCCUUGCAUUUCAGAGGUCUGGCCUGAUUUAGAGGUACAGUUCUCCUCGUAUACACUCAAAUCAUAUCUCCUUUGUGUGGAAAAAUAAGAUUUCAUGCACAAUCAAGUUUAUCUACCUCAAAUCAAUAAAAGCAUUAAAACAGAUAUAAAAGAAAUACAGUUAACCAAUUUAAAUAUUAUUGAAAGUCUUGUAGAACUACAGAUAUGCUGAAUGUGAAAUUUCCUAGUUGAAAGGUGUGUUGAAAGCGUUUCAGGCAACACUAGAAUGCUUUCAAAUGAUGCGCAGCCACUUAUGAAAACUAUUCAGGUGCUUUCCCUAAUCUGAAAGGGAGUGCUUUUUCAUAGCAUUAGUUUUAUAAUGAGCCUUUUCAGGCAAAUUUCAAAGGGUGCAUGGUUCACAUACUUUAAACUAAAUUCACUCAUAAUUUAGCAUCCGACAAAAGCUAAUGCUUAAUUGUCUCUAAAGAGGCUAUAGAAGGAAAACAUUUUCCUUAUUCACAAACAUAGAGCUAAACAGUGGGGCUCCCUCCCAUGACCACCCCUCCCUAAUUUUCAUAGGAACAAUGGCUCAGUAAAGAGCUGGCCAUGAGGAGACUGGGAACACAGAUGCCAGGGUGAUUCUGGAGGCUGAGACUCACUGGCUUUGUGCAACAUUGCCUGCUCACCCCAGCCUCAACACCCUUGGGGAUAAACACGUUGGCCUGUACAGUGGAGGGGAUUGAGAUUUUUAAUUUAUGUAACAUGGGAUAUCUAACAGUCUACUAUUGGCUGACACUUCGAGAUAAGUCACUUACAUUUGCUGAGCUCUACCCAGCUUCCUCAUUGGCAAAAUAAGGAGGCUGUGCUUAACAGAUGGUCUUAAUUAUCACAGUAGUUAAUAGCACAGACAGACACGAAAGCCAGAGGUUUAGCUUCAUAGUUCUUGCUCUGCCACUUCCUAAGUGACUUUGGACAAGUAAAUACAACUCUCCAUGCCACAACUGACUUGUUGGUAAAACAGGAUAAUAAUAGUACAAUCCUCUAAGACUAUAGUAGGUAUUAAAAUGACUUCAUGUAUGUAAAGAACUCAGAACAAUAUAUGGUUUGUAUAAAGAAGUGCCACAUAUAUCUUAACUAUUCUUCUUAUUACGUCGCUCCCAUUUUUAUAUUCUGAGUCUCUUAGAAAAGCAACAACCUAUAUUCUCACUUUUAUUUUUAUUUUCUUUUCUCUCUUUGUCUUUCAAUUAGUGGCACCCCUUGGUAAAAUCAUUGGUUGCUCUAUUUUUCCUUUUGUACUAGAACUUUUGCCAAGUUUAACACACAAGUGCCUUUUGAGAUAUGAGGUACUGGGGAGAGGGAAUUCUUUUAAACAAGUGCAUCAAGGAAGACGUCAGCUCCUUUGGAGGAUAGCAUGUCAAAAUAUAAUGAUUCAACAAAGCCUUUUUGAAAAAAAAAACCCCACAAACUUUUGAACCUGUCUAAUCCUGAGGAAACCGUAGAAAUAAGCAAACAGGAAAAAAAAAAUGUGUAAGAGAAAGAAAAAACCCUUGCACUUGUAAACCUUUACAAUCUCGAGUAAUUUUCAUAAUUGUGACACUUGGUACAAUUUGAUAGUAUCUUAUAUUGAUUCUCAGGUUUCAAGACAAUAAUCAUUACAUUAUUAUCUGCAGCCUAAGCAGUGUAGCAUAACCUCCUAAUUAGGAUAAAAAACAGAGCCAGGAGCAGCCCCAGCAAGUCACAACAAGUCAAUAUUUUUAAUAAGGAUUAAUUAAAAAAAAAUUCUACAAGGUUGUAUUAGAGGCAGUUCUGGCAUGUCUAUUGAUUAACAGUUGGCAUUACAUCUCAUAAAGGGCUCAUUAUGUAAAGCAUCAAUCUAAGUGUGAUGUUCCCUCCCCCACCCCUUAAAUACUAUUGAUUUGUUUUGAUGUGUUUUUUAAAGCACAGUUUGGGAGCUGAGAAGAUUGAGAAUGGGAUUCUGUGAUCACAUUGUCUAUCACAUUGCCAGGCACCCAGUGGAAACGGUAAAGAGGACUAAUACCUUUUGUUUCUCCCCCCCUAGUCAGCUUCUACUGACUUCUCAGGCUGGCAAAGGAAAUCUGCUUAACCACACCAUCAGCCAAAGGGAUCCAAGAUUCAAAAGGGGCACCAUCAACUCCGGGGAAGGGUGUCAGCUCAAGCUGGCAUUCUCCUGAACGAAGACAGAUUUUUUUUUUUCUCCCCGGAAUAAUUUUACGUGUGUUCAUUCUUCAGUGUCCACUAUUUCCUUUAUAUAUUUAUUUAUAUGCAAAUAAACAACGAUGCCAUUUGGAAACCACCUCCAGUGCCCUUCUAAAGACUGCAGCACUAGGAAUCUGCCGGAAGACAGCACGGCCACAGGUGCCUGCAACUCAUGAAUAUGCAGCUCUGACAUUUGAAACUCUUCAGCAGAUUUCUCAACUCCUUUCUUCAUUGACACCAAUUCACUCUCAAUCACAAGGGUUUUCAAGGAAACAACGUUGGUUGGAAGCCACUGUAAAGACUUCCUGAAGUAAUCUCAGUCCAUGCUUCUUAAAAAAUUGCAGACCGAUCCCCUUAAUGUUUUAAAUUCAGAGAAACCUCAAUUCUUAAAAAAAAAAAAAAAAAAAAAAAAAAA